UUACUCUGGGGAUAACAGGCUGGUUUCGCCUAAGAGUCCAAAUCGACGGCGAAGUUCGGCACCUCGAUGUCGGCUCAUCUCAUCCCGGGGGUGGAGAAGCUCCCAAAGGUAUGGCUGUUCGCCAUUUAAAGAGGUACGUGAGCUGGGUUCAAACCGUUUUGACCGCGACAAGUAGUCGUUGUCAGUACGGUUUGAACCCCGAGGUAUAGAAAACGACAUCAUCACGGCGGCGAUAUGCAGCAAUGUAUAUCGAGAAGCUAACUAAUAUCGGUGAAAUCCUAUUCAAGUAAUUGAAGGACAACACCGAGGGAAGUUCGCAGACUUCGUUGAGAAGUUGUACAUUCCAACCAAUCCGGUGCGCAAGUGCCGGCUGGGGAGGUUGAGCCCGAUUGUUCAUAAGGGCGAAACGCACAACACUGUGCGGGUGGGAAGAUCGGGGGUUCUUUUGGGUCCCCCGAUAUAACCACACCUCCUCCUCUCAACGAAGUUUGUGAACGCCCGUAGAGACUAGAUGUUAGCCAUCCCGAGAUUUUCGAGGGAUGAAGGUAUAGUCCAAUGCACACAGUAAUGUGUGAAAAGUCCCGCUAUUGCAGAUGGCUGGAUGAAUACAUGCGUGAGACAGGUUGGUCUUAAUCUGCUGUAGGCGUUGAUUCUUGAGGGGACUCUGGUCUAGUACGAGAGGACCGAUCGGAACUGACCUCUGGUCUGGGGGCUGUACCACCAGGUGCACCGCCCCGUAGCUAUGUCGGGAAUUGAUAACCGCUGAAAGCAUCUAAGCGGGAAACUAACCCCAAGAUAAGGAAUCGUUUGAGGCUCGUGGGAGAUGACCACGUUGAUAGGCGCCAGGUGGAAGCGCAGUAAUGCGUGUAGCCGAGGCGUACUAAUCCGCCGACAGAACUCUUGAA
Candidatus Kaiserbacteria bacterium is the source of this 905-nucleotide non-coding RNA. The record is from Rfam. Lineage: Bacteria; Candidatus Kaiseribacteriota.